AUGCAAGUCGGACGGUAGAGGGAGCUUGCUCCCUUGAGAGUGGCGAACGGGUGAGUAACACGUAGAUGAUCUGCCUUUUAAGUUGGGGAUAGCCCAUGGAAACAUGGGGUAAUACCGAAUACGUUCCUAUUAGUAAAGUGGUAGGAAGAAAGGGGCUAAGGCCCCGCUUAAAGAUGAGUCUGCGGUUCAUUAGCUAGUUGGUGGGGUAAAGGCCUACCAAGGCGACGAUGAAUAGCCGGCCCUGAGAGGGUGAACGGCCACACUGGAACUGAGACACGGUCCAGACUCC
RNAcentral lists this ribosomal RNA (289 nucleotides) under unidentified marine bacterioplankton. RNAcentral describes it as "partial 16S ribosomal RNA". It matches the Rfam family "Bacterial small subunit ribosomal RNA", at positions 55 to 339 of the family's 1533-position model. The record is from RNAcentral.